GACGUAGGGCGCGAGCGUUGUCCGGAUUUAUUGGGCGUAAAGAGCUCGUAGGCGGCUCGUUGCGUCAACCGUGAAAACCCGGGGCUUAACUUCGGGCUUGCGGUUGAUACGGGCGGGCUGGAGUUCGGUAGGGGAGACUGGAAUUCCUGGUGUAGCGGUGAAAUGCGCAGAUAUCAGGAGGAACACCGGUGGCGAAGGCGGGUCUCUGGGCCAUUACUGACGCUGAGGAGCGAAAGCGUGGGGAGCGAACAGG
This 253-nucleotide ribosomal RNA is filed under the name uncultured bacterium. RNAcentral describes it as "partial 16S ribosomal RNA". It matches the Rfam family "Bacterial small subunit ribosomal RNA", at positions 524 to 776 of the family's 1533-position model. The record is from RNAcentral.